RNAcentral lists this ribosomal RNA (380 nucleotides) under uncultured bacterium. RNAcentral describes it as "bacterial SSU rRNA". It matches the Rfam family "Bacterial small subunit ribosomal RNA", at positions 30 to 414 of the family's 1533-position model. The record is from RNAcentral.
AUUGAACGCUGGCGGCAUGCCUUACACAUGCAAGUCGAACGGCAGCACGGGAGCAAUCCUGGUGGCGAGUGGCGAACGGGUGAGUAAUGUAUCGGAACGUACCAUUGAGUGGGGAUAACGUAGCGAAAGUUACGCUAAUACCGCAUAUACCCUGAGGGGGAAAGCAGGGAUCGCAAGACCUUGUGCUCUUUGAGCGGCCGAUAUCAGAUUAGGUAGUUGGUGAGGUAAAGGCUCACCAAGCCGACGAUCUGUAGCUGGUCUGAGAGGACGACCAGCCACACUGGGACUGAGACACGGCCCAGACUCUACGGAGGCAGCAGUGGGGAAUUUUGGACAAUGGGCGCAAGCCUGAUCCAGCAAUGCCGCGUGCAGGAUGAAGG